CCUACGGGAGGCAGCAGUGAGGAAUAUUGGUCAAUGGACGCGAGUCUGAACCAGCCACGCAGCGUGAAGGAUGACUGCCCUAUGGGUUGUAAACUUCUUUUAUAAAGGAAUAAAACGAGGCACGUGUGCCUUUUUGCAUGUCCUUUAUGUACAAGGCUCGGCGAACUCCGGGCCAGCAGCCGCGGUACUACGGAGGAUCCGCGCGUUAUCCGGAUUUAUUGGGUGUAAAGGGAGCGUAGAUGGGUGGUUAAGUCAGUUGUGAAAGUUUGUGGCUCAACCGUAAGAUUGCAAUUGAGACUGGCAGUCUUGAGUGCAGGUGAGGUAAGCGGAAUUCGGGGUGUAGCGGUGAAAUGCGUAGAUAGCACGAAGAACCCCGAUGGCGAAGGCAGCUUACUAAACUGUGACUGACAUUGAUGCGCGAAAGUGUGGGGAGCAAACAGGAUUAGAUACCCCAGUAGUC
RNAcentral lists this ribosomal RNA (460 nucleotides) under uncultured bacterium. Its description in RNAcentral is "partial 16S ribosomal RNA". It matches the Rfam family "Bacterial small subunit ribosomal RNA", at positions 338 to 795 of the family's 1533-position model. The record is from RNAcentral.